UACAGAGGUCUCAAGCGUUGUUCGGAUUCAUUGGGCGUAAAGCGCGUGUAGGCAGCUUGGCAAGUCGGGUGUGAAAGCCCUGGGCUCAACCUAGGAAGUGCACUCGAAACUGCUUCGCUUGAGUAUCGGAGAGGAAAGCGGAAUUCUCGGUGUAGAGGUGAAAUUCGUAGAUAUCGAGAGGAACACCAGUGGCGAAGGCGGCUUUCUGGACGAUCACUGACGCUGAGACGCGAAAGCGUGGGGAGCAAACAGG
RNAcentral lists this ribosomal RNA (253 nucleotides) under uncultured bacterium. RNAcentral describes it as "partial 16S ribosomal RNA". It matches the Rfam family "Bacterial small subunit ribosomal RNA", at positions 524 to 776 of the family's 1533-position model. The record is from RNAcentral.